UGUUUAAAAUUCAUCUAUUUGUAUUGUUGAAAACCAGUAUGGUUGACAGAAUAACCAGACAGUGACACGUAGCAUGUCACUUAUACCUCAUGCUGGCGUCCAAUCUAUAACAAUAGAAAUUGAUGAAAUUUUUAAUA
Gossypium hirsutum (cotton) is the source of this 137-nucleotide non-coding RNA. Lineage: Eukaryota; Viridiplantae; Streptophyta; Magnoliopsida; Malvales; Malvaceae. The record is from Rfam.